This 519-nucleotide ribosomal RNA is filed under the name uncultured bacterium. RNAcentral describes it as "partial 16S ribosomal RNA". It matches the Rfam family "Bacterial small subunit ribosomal RNA", at positions 28 to 507 of the family's 1533-position model. The record is from RNAcentral.
GACGAACGCUGGCGGCGUGCCUAAUACAUGCAAGUCGAGCGAGCUUGCCUAGAUGAAUUUGGUGCUUGCACCAGAUGAAACUAGAUACAAGCGAGCGGCGGACGGGUGAGUAACACGUGGGUAACCUGCCCAAGAGACUGGGAUAACACCUGGAAACAGAUGCUAAUACCGGAUAACAACACUAGACGCAUGUCUAGAGUUUAAAAGAUGGUUCUGCUAUCACUCUUGGAUGGACCUGCGGUGCAUUAGCUAGUUGGUAAGGCAACGGCUUACCAAGGCAAUGAUGCAUAGCCGAAUUGAGAGACUGAUCGGCCACAUUGGGACUGAGACACGGCCCAAACUCCUACGGGAGGCAGCAGUAGGGAAUCUUCCACAAUGGACGCAAGUCUGAUGGAGCAACGCCGCGUGAGUGAAGAAGGGUUUCGGCUCGUAAAGCUCUGUUGGUAGUGAAGAAAGAUAGAGGUAGUAACUGGCCUUUAUUUGACGGUAAUUACUUAGAAAGUCACGGCUAACUACGUG